CCCUACGGGUCUAGGGAAUACCCCGGAUCCGUUUUGCCCCCUGUCCCUAGCUUCAUAAUAAAAUUGUGGAGACUAUGUGGCAAAAGAAAAACAAGGGAUUUAAAAGAACGGGGGGGGGGAGGACCCUUAGGGGUCCCCCCCCGGGAUCCGAAGGGUCCGCCACGCCCCGUCCCGAUUUAUAUGAAAAACCACUCUUUUUAUUAAGAUUACUGUCUAACACCGUACAAGUAAGAUAGUUUGGUUGGGGCGACCGCCUUCGAAAAAGUAUCGAAGGCGCACAUAAGAUUAAUCAGGAGAAGGAUCCGAAGGAUCUUUUUCUCGGGAGUAAUGUCCCAAAAAAAGGAGAUUAAUUUGACUGAGAGGGCAACAACCCGAACAGACGUCAAAGGAUAGACCGGGGGGGGAAUCCUACAGAUUCCUUCCCCCCCUUCUUUUGGCGGGUCAUAGUGAUCC
This 453-nucleotide ribosomal RNA is filed under the name Placozoa sp. ME-2010. Its description in RNAcentral is "partial 16S ribosomal RNA". Lineage: Eukaryota; Metazoa; Placozoa. The record is from RNAcentral.